Molecule: ribosomal RNA, 526 nt
Filed under: Bacillus subtilis
Lineage: Bacteria; Bacillati; Bacillota; Bacilli; Caryophanales; Bacillaceae
Description: bacterial SSU rRNA
Rfam family: Bacterial small subunit ribosomal RNA
Source: RNAcentral
UCGGGAGAGGGCCACCGAUAGGGAGUCUUCCGCAAUGGACGAAAGUCUGACGGAGCAACGCCGCGUGAGUGAUGAAGGUUUUCGGAUCGUAAAGCUCUGUUGUUAGGGAAGAACAAGUACCGUUCGAAUAGGGCGGUACCUUGACGGUACCUAACCAGAAAGCCACGGCUAACUACGUGCCAGCAGCCGCGGUAAUACGUAGGUGGCAAGCGUUGUCCGGAAUUAUUGGGCGUAAAGGGCUCGCAGGCGGUUUCUUAAGUCUGAUGUGAAAGCCCCCGGCUCAACCGGGGAGGGUCAUUGGAAACUGGGGAACUUGAGUGCAGAAGAGGAGAGUGGAAUUCCCACGGGAAGCGGUGAAAUGCGUAGAGAUGUGGAGGAACACCAGUGGCGAAGGCGACUCUCUGGUCUGUAACUGACGCUGAGGAGCGAAAGCGUGGGGAGCGAACAGGAUUAGAUACCCUGGUAGUCCACGCCGUAAACGAUGAGUGCUAAGUGUUAGGGGGUUCCGCCCUUAGUGCCAACCCCC